This 134-nucleotide small RNA is filed under the name Salmonella enterica subsp. enterica serovar Muenchen. Its description in RNAcentral is "RtT sRNA". It matches the Rfam family "RtT RNA". From Rfam's summary of the family: This family represents a bacterial cis-regulatory element known as RtT RNA. The exact function of RtT is unknown although it is thought that it may be involved in changing the cellular response in relation to amino acid starvation. Lineage: Bacteria; Pseudomonadati; Pseudomonadota; Gammaproteobacteria; Enterobacterales; Enterobacteriaceae. The record is from RNAcentral.
UGUAUCUGAAGUCUGACGAGGAUGAGAACCUCCGGGGGCAAGAGGUUCGACUCGAGCGAAGCGAGAGAACGUUGCGUCAGCAACGGCCUGCAGGGCGAGCCACGCAGUGGCGAGUCAUCCUCUAUCACCGACCA